AGCGAGCCGAGCAGGCGGUGCUGCCGCCCGCCGCCGCUCGCCCCGCCGCGGCCGCCCCUGCUCCUGCUUGCAGCGCCCCUCUGAUCCAUGGCUGUCUGUCUGUACUUGUUACGGUGUAACAUCCUCCUCCUCCUUCUCCUCCUCCUCCUCGGGAGCCGCUGCAACUUCCCCUCAGCCAGCCUCCUCCUCUGCCUGGGGACUGCAAAGGCAUGGGAUAGACCCAGAGCCGCUUCCCUCUGUCUCCCCUCCAGCCCUCGCUCAAUUUUCCCCCCUUUAAAUUAAAGUCUGUUCCUCGCUCCUCGUCGUUUUAGAGAUUUA
Molecule: small RNA, 318 nt
Filed under: Pan troglodytes (chimpanzee)
Lineage: Eukaryota; Metazoa; Chordata; Mammalia; Primates; Hominidae
Description: processed transcript
Source: RNAcentral